Molecule: ribosomal RNA, 497 nt
Filed under: uncultured bacterium
Lineage: Bacteria
Description: partial 16S ribosomal RNA
Rfam family: Bacterial small subunit ribosomal RNA
Source: RNAcentral
GAUGAACGCUGGCGGCGUGCCUAAUACAUGCAAGUCGAGCGAACAGACGGGGAGCUUGUUCCCCUGACGUUAGCGGCGGACGGGUGAGUAACACGUGGAUCACCUACUUAUAAUACUGGGAUAACUUCGGGGAACCGGUGCUAAUACUAGAUCAUACAUCGUACCGCAUGGAUCAAUAGUUAAAGACGGCUUUGCCGUCACUAAUAGAUGGAUCCGCGUCGGAUUAGCUAGUUGGUAAGGUAACGGCUUACCAAGGCGACGAUGCGUAGCCGAGCUGAGAGGAUGAUCAGCCACACUGGAACUGAGACACGGUCCAGACUCCUACGGGAGGCAGCAGUAGGGAAUAUUGCACAAUGGGCGAAAGCUUGACGGAGCAACGCCGCGUGAGUGAAGAAGGUCUUCGGGUCGUAAAGCUCUGUUAUUAGGGAAGAAAAGAUGUGUAAGUAACUAUGCACGUCUUGACGGUACCUAAUCAAUAAGCAACGGCUAACUACGUG